Molecule: ribosomal RNA, 494 nt
Filed under: uncultured bacterium
Lineage: Bacteria
Description: partial 16S ribosomal RNA
Rfam family: Bacterial small subunit ribosomal RNA
Source: RNAcentral
GACGAACGCUGGCGGCGUGCCUAAUACAUGCAAGUCGAACGCUGAAGGAGGAGCUUGCUUCUCUGGAUGAGUUGCGAACGGGUGAGUAACGCGUAGGUAACCUGCCUGGUAGCGGGGGAUAACUAUUGGAAACGAUAGCUAAUACCGCAUAAGAGUAGAUGUUGCAUGUCAUUUACUUAAAAGGUGCAAUUUCGUCACUACCAGAUGGACCUGCGUUGUAUUAGUUGGUUGGUGGGGUAACGGCCCACAAAGGAAACGACACAUAGCGGACCUGAGAGGGGGACCGCCCAACUGGGACUGAGACACGGCCCAGACUUCUACGGGAGGGAGCAAGAGGGGAACUUCGGCAAAGGACGGAAGUCUGAACGAGCAACGCCGCGGGAGGGAAGAAGGGUUUCGGGUCGGAAAGAUCUGUUGUAAGAGAAGAAAGAGUGUGAGAGUGAAAAGUUCACACUGUGACGGUACCUAACCAGAAAGGGACGGCUAACUACGUG